Molecule: long non-coding RNA, 573 nt
Filed under: Fukomys damarensis (Damara mole-rat)
Lineage: Eukaryota; Metazoa; Chordata; Mammalia; Rodentia; Bathyergidae
Description: lncRNA (ENSFDAG00000031684.1)
Source: RNAcentral
GCAUCUUGGGGCCCAGCUGUUGGUGCUGUGAGCACUUCGAGGAGUCCUGGGAGGAAACGUGGGACUGGAUUGUGACUUCCACAGAGUGUUGCCACCCACCUCAAACUCCCAAUGCAAUGUCUUGAUCUGGGAGAAGUGUUGACAUUUUUUAGGGAGUUACAGUCCAAGCAAGAUCAUGGAGAAGAGGUUUGGACUUCCAGCAAAACGUUGCUAAAGCCGCCAAGAUGUAAUACCUGCCACCUCUCAGGAAAACAUGGAUUGUUUCAAAUGGAUUAUCGUAUUCCACCCAGCCUCUGAUGAAUGAAAUCGAGUGGUGUAUCAAUCAGUUCCCCUGGAUUGUAAUUUGAUAAUCUGUUCCAUGGAAUGCUCUUUCACAGCUAGCUUGGACCUGGGAGUCCCCCAGUGCAAGGACAGCUUGAGUUGGUUUGUUCUUCUUUUGAGUGUUUGAGUUUGAUUUUGUUGGAUGGACUCUGAGGGAACCCCCAGUCCUUUUCUAAUCGUUCUGUGCCUGCAUCGAGCCAGUGAUCUCACUGCAAUGACACAGAUCCCAGGAGAAAGGCACCACGUAACUGG